This 3349-nucleotide long non-coding RNA is filed under the name Mytilus galloprovincialis (Mediterranean mussel). The record is from RNAcentral. Lineage: Eukaryota; Metazoa; Mollusca; Bivalvia; Mytilida; Mytilidae.
GUUGUUAUUAUUUAAGGGAAUCAACAUUUAAAUAAAAUGUUCUAUAUUUUGCAGAAUAUACUCUGUAUCUGCUUAUCUGGUAGUGUACGUGUAGAAUCCUGUUUAGCUUUUAUACACGGUGGAGAAAGAGCGCCUAGCGUGUUUGGCAGUGUUCUGUAGAGCGGUCUUUAAACUGCCUUCUACAGAACCUGCAUGCAACAACUUUAUCUGCGUAGCUUGUUCCCAGUGAAUAGUUGUUUCCCACAAAAAAAAUGAAUUUUGUUGUACUUGUGGUUGUUGCUAUUUGGUACUUUAAGCCUCUGGGUAAUUGCAACUUGACGUUCGAUGAUAUUGUCGUUUCACAGUUUGAAUAAGUUUUGCUGUUUAUUGUUCGUUUCCGUCUGCUGAUGACAAAAUUGUCGGCUGUAGAGGCCGCACCAGAACCCUCAACCACCUUGUAAAUCAGGACUUAAACGGAUCUGUGGUUCUUUCCUUCUAGCGUCUCCAUUCAAGCUGGGUCUUAUCAUUAGUAUGGAUCCUGUUUUCUCGACUCCUGUAUUUCUUGAUGAAUCGUAAUCCUCUGUUUUUGGAUUCGUUCUAGUUGUCAAUAUUCCCUUUGCAUAUAUGGGUUCCAGAUUCGUUGCGCUAUAUCUCCAUGAUGAUCUUACAAAGGGAAUAUUAUGCUACGUUACUACAUGCUUCUGUACGUUCUCAAGUUCCUCCGAAGAAAGCCAAGCGUGUCUACUCGUUGCCUUUCUUGCUGAUGUUAUUAUGUGGAAAGCUCCAAUUUCAGAUCGUUGAGAUUUGGACAUCUAAGUAGGGUCUUCAACUUGUACUUCUUGUAGAAUGUGUUUUAUUAAACGUUGUAGAAAUGUCUGUUUUUUUAUCUUAUGGAUAGAACAUAGCUCUUUUUGCGUUGAAAACGCAUUCCCAAUUUGUCGGCCAGAUUUCUAGUUGUUCCAAAUCUGUUUGUAAGCUUUUGUGGUCUUGGCUAUUUUUAAAUUGUUCUGUAUAGUCAGGCACUCGUCAGCAAAAGUUUUACGAUGAUGUUACCACUGUAUGGUAGUCAUUGAUCUGUGGCACCAGAAAUAGGGAUUGGUCCUAAGACUGUGCCUAGCGUGGACCCAGAAUCAACUGUUGUUCGCCAGAUGAUUCGCCCUCAACGAUCGGUCUCAUUGAUCUUGCAAUUAGGAAGUUCUUAAGCCCAUUUGUGUGUAUUCCUUUAAUUCCAUACUGAUCUAAAUUCUAUGUAAUAAUUUUUGUGUUUGUACUGUGUCGAAAAUUUGAAAAAUGUAAUAUGCCUACGUCAUUUUGAAUGUCCCUGUAGUGUUCUUGUAAGAAGUCGUGAUGUAGUUUAGCAGUUGGGUUUCACAUGAUAUCCUGACCUGAAGCCGUGUUAGUUGGUUAGGAUUUUGUUCUUUCAGAUGUUUAAGAAUAUGCCGUAGCAUUACGAUAUCUUCUACGAAUUUUGCUGAUGGACAGAUGUUAGGAACAGGGUCUGUGUUUUCUAGCCAGGUGUUGUACUCCUUUUUGAAAGAUACUGGAUAUGUUUGCGUCUCUCCAUCUUUUGGUAGUUCACCCUGUGUCUAGCGAGAUAUUGCAAAAAUGAUUUGUAGUGAUGGGUGCUAGUUGUUCAGCACAUUCCUUUGAAUUCGUUUGGUAUGUUGUCUGGUCGAUGCUUUAUUUUAGGUUUGUGUUUUAAGUAAUUAUUUCCAGUCCCUUUUGGUAGAUCUGAUGUUAUUGUAAAUACGACUUAAAUUGUCUAAGUAGGAGUUCGAAUUCCCUUACUGUCACUGACAAAGGAGUUGCUUUGUUAAUUUGUGCUAUUCCUUACCUGAGUCCUGGCGUUUGGAUUUAAUGUCAUUUUUCAAAAACGUCCUUCGUGUUAUUUUGUUUAGUCCCCAAAAUGUUUUGGUUGACAUAUUCACCUAUCAUGCUUUCCUCAGGUUUCUGCAUCCUUUUUGGAAAAGACCUAUAAUUUGACCAUUUGUUUGUUGUUUUUCUGCUUGUGUAUAGCCUCUGUUUCUUCUUUAGCAUUUUCCUCUGUUUUGUUGAUCCAUGGAUUAUAUUUCUUUGUUGGAUAUUAUUCUUUGUUCGAAAUAUUUAUUCAUGUUUUUUGGAAGCUGACUUUUGAAGUGUCCCAAAGUUGAUGUACCUCAAGUCCUUGCUGAUGUUUUCUUUGACCUCGUCUCAGCGUGUGUUUAAGGUAUGUUGUGAUUUUGGUUCCCAUUUCGCCUUCUUGUAGAUGUUACAUUUCUUGGUAAGCUUUUUUAUGUGUACUUUGUUUCAGUGUUCGUGAUAUGAAUGUCAUGGUCUGAUAUACCUAGUAUGUUAUUUGAGGAUUUAACUCGAGUUAUUUUUCAUUUAUUUAUCAUUCAAGAACCGAGAUAUGUUAAUAUUAUGACAUGUAUGAAGGGAAAUGAUUUUGGUUCGCUUUUGUGGACGUUUCGUCCUCGAUGGUAUCACCAGCCCAGUAGUGGAUAUCAAUAAUGUGCUCAUUUUUAUAAAUUUCCUGUUAACAAAACUUUAUAUUUUUCGAAAAACUAAGGAUUUUCUAUUCCCCGGCAUAGAUAUAAUAAUAACUGGCGAUAAAUAAUGUAGUGUUUAUACUGUUAUCUCAAUGUUUGAUGAAUUUUAUGAAUAACUACAUUAUAUAGCUCUUGGUAAGACAUUACAUAUCAAAACUUUAUAUACUUUUUAAUGUGAGAGUUUUGUCGUAAGUUAAUGUAGUGUGGAAGAACACACUUUUGGUAAAUGAUACACUAUUGCUCCUUUGUAGAAUUAUGAUCUACGAUUCCAAUGUCAAGAAGAUAACCUCUGUAACUAAGCGAAUAAAACGUGGACAGAGGGAAUCCUACCAACCUUUUGUUUAUUUUAUAAGUUUUGAAAAUAACGGGUGAUCACAGAAUCGAAUUAUUGAAAGCUCACUAUUUUCAAUUAUAACGGUUCACCUUCCGGCAAAAAAACUUGACCUAGUUAUUGAUUAAAAUGAAAAUAACAGGAAAGGAGAAAUCAUUAUAUAAAUAUUUGUCCUCUAAUCUGGACUAAGUAUAUUUGAAAUUUUUCGAUUCUGGUAGAUUUUGUUCUGAAUAAUAUUAUACUUGUAUUAUAUUAAAGUUAUACAGGGAAGCUUUGUUGUGUUUCCAGGCUAUUUAGAAACUCUAAAUAUAACAUUUGUAAAAAUACUGAAAACGUUUUUAAGUUUAUUUCCCUAAUAACACAAGUCAAAAAAAAUGUAUGCCCUUAUGACAAUUAUUUACAGCAAACCUUGGAUGUAGAUAAAAAAUAAAUUAAUUGAGUAGAAGUCUACAUAAUUGAGAAAAGAAACGGGGAGUGUGUCAACACUAUAACCCGUUCAAACAGCACAAGG